UACGGAGGAUGCAAGCGUUAUCCGGAAUGAUUGGGCGUAAAGCGUCCGCAGGUGGCUGUGUAAGUCUGCUGUCAAAGAGCGAAGCUCAACUUCGUAAAGGCAGUGGAAACUACACGGCUAGAGUGCGUUCGGGGCAGAGGGAAUUCCUGGUGUAGCGGUGAAAUGCGUAGAGAUCAGGAAGAACACCGGUGGCGAAGGCGCUCUGAUAGGCCGCAACUGACACUGAGGGACGAAAGCUAGGGGAGCGAAUGGG
This 253-nucleotide ribosomal RNA is filed under the name uncultured bacterium. RNAcentral's name for it is "partial 16S ribosomal RNA". It matches the Rfam family "Bacterial small subunit ribosomal RNA", at positions 524 to 776 of the family's 1533-position model. The record is from RNAcentral.